GUACACAAAAAUGCACAUGCUGUGAGCUCGAUGAGUAGGGCGGGACACGUGGUAUCCUGUCUGAAUAUGGGGGGACCAUCCUCCAAGGCUAAAUACUCCUGACUGACCGAUAGUGAACCAGUACCGUGAGGGAAAGGCGAAAAGAACCCCGGCGAGGGGAGUGAAAAAGAACCUGAAACCGUGUACGUACAAGCAGUGGGAGCACAGAGCAAUCUGUGUGACUGCGUACCUUUUGUAUAAUGGGUCAGCGACUUAUAUUCUGUAGCAAGGUUAACCGAAUAGGGGAGCCGAAGGGAAACCGAGUCUUAACUGGGCGUUAAGUUGCAGGGUAUAGACCCGAAACCCGGUGAUCUAGCCAUGGGCAGGUUGAAGGUUGGGUAACACUAACUGGAGGACCGAACCGACUAAUGUUGAAAAAUUAGCGGAUGACUUGUGGCUGGGGGUGAAAGGCCAAUCAAACCGGGAGAUAGCUGGUUCUCCCCGAAAGCUAUUUAGGUAGCGCCUCGUGAAUUCAUCUCCGGGGGUAGAGCACUGUUUCGGCAAGGGGGUCAUCCCGACUUACCAACCCGAUGCAAACUGCGAAUACCGGAGAAUGUUAUCACGGGAGACACACGGCGGGUGCUAACGUCCGUCGUGAAGAGGGAAACAACCCAGACCGCCAGCUAAGGUCCCAAAGUCAUGGUUAAGUGGGAAACGAUGUGGGAAGGCCCAGACAGCCAGGAUGUUGGCUUAGAAGCAGCCAUCAUUUAAAGAAAGCGUAAUAGCUCACUGGUCGAGUCGGCCUGCGCGGAAGAUGUAACGGGGCUAAACCAUGCACCGAAGCUGCGGCAGCGACACUAUGUGUUGUUGGGUAGGGGAGCGUUCUGUAAGCCUGUGAAGGUGUACUGUGAGGUAUGCUGGAGGUAUCAGAAGUGCGAAUGCUGACAUAAGUAACGAUAAAGCGGGUGAAAAGCCCGCUCGCCGGAAGACCAAGGGUUCCUGUCCAACGUUAAUCGGGGCAGGGUGAGUCGACCCCUAAGGCGAGGCCGAAAGGCGUAGUCGAUGGGAAACAGGUUAAUAUUCCUGUACUUGGUGUUACUGCGAAGGGGGGACGGAGAAGGCUAUGUUGGCCGGGCGACGGUUGUCCCGGUUUAAGCGUGUAGGCUGGUUUUCCAGGCAAAUCCGGAAAACUAAGGCUGAGGCGUGAUGACGAGGCACUACGGUGCUGAAGCAACAAAUGCCCUGCUUCCAGGAAAAGCCUCUAAGCAUCAGGUAACAUCAAAUCGUACCCCAAACCGACACAGGUGGUCAGGUAGAGAAUACCAAGGCGCUUGAGAGAACUCGGGUGAAGGAACUAGGCAAAAUGGUGCCGUAACUUCGGGAGAAGGCACGCUGAUACGUAGGUGAAGUCCCUCGCGGAUGGAGCUGAAAUCAGUCGAAGAUACCAGCUGGCUGCAACUGUUUAUUAAAAACACAGCACUGUGCAAACACGAAAGUGGACGUAUACGGUGUGACGCCUGCCCGGUGCCGGAAGGUUAAUUGAUGGGGUCAGCGCAAGCGAAGCUCUUGAUCGAAGCCCCGGUAAACGGCGGCCGUAACUAUAACGGUCCUAAGGUAGCGAAAUUCCUUGUCGGGUAAGUUCCGACCUGCACGAAUGGCGUAAUGAUGGCCAGGCUGUCUCCACCCGAGACUCAGUGAAAUUGAACUCGCUGUGAAGAUGCAGUGUACCCGCGGCAAGACGGAAAGACCCCGUGAACCUUUACUAUAGCUUGACACUGAACAUUGAGCCUUGAUGUGUAGGAUAGGUGGGAGGCUUUGAAGUGUGGACGCCAGUCUGCAUGGAGCCGACCUUGAAAUACCACCCUUUAAUGUUUGAUGUUCUAACGUGGACCCGUAAUCCGGGUUGCGGACAGUGUCUGGUGGGUAGUUUGACUGGGGCGGUCUCCUCCUAAAGAGUAACGGAGGAGCACGAAGGUUGGCUAAUCCUGGUCGGACAUCAGGAGGUUAGUGCAAUGGCAUAAGCCAGCUUGACUGCGAGCGUGACGGCGCGAGCAGGUGCGAAAGCAGGUCAUAGUGAUCCGGUGGUUCUGAAUGGAAGGGCCAUCGCUCAACGGAUAAAAGGUACUCCGGGGAUAACAGGCUGAUACCGCCCAAGAGUUCAUAUCGACGGCGGUGUUUGGCACCUCGAUGUCGGCUCAUCACAUCCUGGGGCUGAAGUAGGUCCCAAGGGUAUGGCUGUUCGCCAUUUAAAGUGGUACGCGAGCUGGGUUUAGAACGUCGUGAGACAGUUCGGUCCCUAUCUGCCGUGGGCGCUGGAGAACUGAGGGGGGCUGCUCCUAGUACGAGAGGACCGGAGUGGACGCAUCACUGGUGUUCGGGUUGUCAUGCCAAUGGCACUGCCCGGUAGCUAAAUGCGGAAGAGAUAAGUGCUGAAAGCAUCUAAGCACGAAACUUGCCCCGAGAUGAGUUCUCCCUGACUCCUUGAGAGUCCUGAAGGAACGUUGAAGACGACGACGUUGAUAGGCCGGGUGUGUAAGCGCAGCGAUGCGUUGAGCUAACCGGUACUAAUGAACCGUGAGG
RNAcentral lists this ribosomal RNA (2559 nucleotides) under Escherichia coli. Its description in RNAcentral is "partial 23S ribosomal RNA". It matches the Rfam family "Bacterial large subunit ribosomal RNA", at positions 375 to 2916 of the family's 2925-position model. The record is from RNAcentral. Lineage: Bacteria; Pseudomonadati; Pseudomonadota; Gammaproteobacteria; Enterobacterales; Enterobacteriaceae.